Molecule: ribosomal RNA, 253 nt
Filed under: uncultured bacterium
Lineage: Bacteria
Description: partial 16S ribosomal RNA
Rfam family: Bacterial small subunit ribosomal RNA
Source: RNAcentral
UACGUAGGGGGCAAGCGUUGUCCGGAAUCAUUGGGCGUAAAGCGCGUGUAGGCGGUUCGGUAAGUCUGCUGUGAAAGUCCAGGGCUCAACCCUGGGAUGGCGGUGGAUACUGUCGGACUAGAGUACGGAAGAGGCGAGUGGAAUUCCCGGUGUAGCGGUGAAAUGCGCAGAUAUCGGGAGGAACACCAAUUGCGAAGGCAGCUCGCUGGGACGUAACUGACGCUGAGACGCGAAAGCGUGGGGAGCAAACAGG